Molecule: ribosomal RNA, 103 nt
Filed under: uncultured bacterium
Lineage: Bacteria
Description: partial 16S ribosomal RNA
Rfam family: Bacterial small subunit ribosomal RNA
Source: RNAcentral
CCUUGUACACACCGCCCGUCAAGUCAUGAAAGUCGGUAACACCCGAAGCCAGUGGCCCAACCGCAAGGAGGGAGCUGUCGAAGGUGGGAUCGGUGAUUAGGAC